This 72-nucleotide transfer RNA is filed under the name Parapedobacter koreensis. RNAcentral's name for it is "tRNA_Arg_CCT". It matches the Rfam family "tRNA". From Rfam's summary of the family: Transfer RNA (tRNA) molecules are approximately 80 nucleotides in length. Their secondary structure includes four short double-helical elements and three loops (D, anti-codon, and T loops). Further hydrogen bonds mediate the characteristic L-shaped molecular structure. tRNAs have two regions of fundamental functional importance: the anti-codon, which is responsible for specific mRNA codon recognition, and the 3' end, to which the tRNAs corresponding amino acid is attached (by aminoacyl-tRNA synthetases). tRNAs cope with the degeneracy of the genetic code in two manners: having more than one tRNA (with a specific anti-codon) for a particular amino acid; and 'wobble' base-pairing, i.e. permitting non-standard base-pairing at the 3rd anti-codon position. RNAcentral also lists the same sequence under 4 other names. The record is from RNAcentral. Lineage: Bacteria; Pseudomonadati; Bacteroidota; Sphingobacteriia; Sphingobacteriales; Sphingobacteriaceae.
GGCCUCGUAGUUCAACGGAUAGAAUAGAAGUUUCCUAAACUUUAGAUAUGGGUUCGAUUCCCGUCGAGGCUA